AGCGUUUAGCGGCGGACGGGUGAGUAACACGUGGGCAACCUGCCCUGCAGAUCGGGAUAACUCCGGGAAACCGGUGCUAAUACCGAAUAGUUUGAGGCCUCUCCUGAGGCUUCACGGAAAGACGGUUUCGGCUGUCACUGCAGGAUGGGCCCGCGGCGCAUUAGCUAGUUGGUGGGGUAACGGCCCACCAAGGCCACGAUGCGUAGCCGACCUGAGAGGGUGACCGGCCACACUGGGACUGAGACACGGUCCAGACUCCUACGGGAGGCAGCAGUGGGGAAUUUUGGACAAUGGGCGAAAGCCUGAUCCAGCAAUGCCGCGUGAGUGAAGAAGGCCUUCGGGUUGUAAAGCUCUUUUGUCAGGGAAGAAACGGUUCGGGCUAAUAUCCUGGGCUAAUGACGGUACCUGAAGAAUAAGCACCGGCUAACUACGUGCCAGCAGCCGCGGUAAUACGUAGGGUGCAAGCGUUAAUCGGAAUUACUGGGCGUAAAGCGUGCGCAGGCGGUUUUGUAAGUCUGACGUGAAAUCCCCGGGCUUAACCUGGGA
This 546-nucleotide ribosomal RNA is filed under the name uncultured bacterium. RNAcentral's name for it is "bacterial SSU rRNA". It matches the Rfam family "Bacterial small subunit ribosomal RNA", at positions 87 to 619 of the family's 1533-position model. The record is from RNAcentral.